GCAUAUCAAUAAGCGGAGGAAAAGAAACCAACAGGGAUUGCCCUAGUAACGGCGAGUGAAGCGGCAACAGCUCAAAUUUGAAAUCUGGCUUCGGCCCGAGUUGUAAUUUGCAGAGGAAGCUUUAGGCGCGGCACCUCCUGAGUCCCCUGGAACGGGGCGCCACAGAGGGUGAGAGCCCCGUAUAGUUGGAUGCCUAGCCUGUGUAAAGCUCCUUCGACGAGUCGAGUAGUUUGGGAAUGCUGCUCAAAAUGGGAGGUAAAUUUCUUCUAAAGCUAAAUACCGGCCAGAGACCGAUAGCGCACAAGUAGAGUGAUCGAAAGAUGAAAAGCACUUUGAAAAGAGGGUUAAAUAGCACGUGAAAUUGUUGAAAGGGAAGCGCUUGUGACCAGACUUGCGCCGGGCUGAUCAUCCGGUGUUCUCACCGGUGCACUCUGCCCGGUUCAGGCCAGCAUCGGUUCUCGCGGGGGGAUAAAGGCCCUGGGAACGUAGCUCCUCCGGGAGUGUUAUAGCCCGGGGCGCAAUGCCCUCGCGGGGACCGAGGUUCGCGCUCUGCAAGGAUG
This 560-nucleotide ribosomal RNA is filed under the name Acrophialophora jodhpurensis. Its description in RNAcentral is "partial 28S ribosomal RNA". It matches the Rfam family "Eukaryotic large subunit ribosomal RNA", at positions 38 to 625 of the family's 3401-position model. Lineage: Eukaryota; Fungi; Ascomycota; Sordariomycetes; Sordariales; Chaetomiaceae. The record is from RNAcentral.